ACAUGCAGUCGUGCGGACAUGAUCGCGGUAGCUUGCUCCCUGAUGUUAGCGGCGGACGGGUGAGUAACACGUGGGUAACCUGCCUGUAAGACUGGGAUAACUCCGGGAAACCGGGGCUAAUACCGGAUGGUUGUCUGAACCGCAUGGUUCAGACAUAAAAGGUGGCUUCGGCUACCACUUACAGAUGGACCCGCGGCGCAUUAGCUAGUUGGUGAGGUAACGUCUCACCAAGGCUACAAUGCGUAGC
This 247-nucleotide ribosomal RNA is filed under the name Bacillus velezensis. RNAcentral describes it as "partial 16S ribosomal RNA". It matches the Rfam family "Bacterial small subunit ribosomal RNA", at positions 53 to 287 of the family's 1533-position model. Lineage: Bacteria; Bacillati; Bacillota; Bacilli; Caryophanales; Bacillaceae. The record is from RNAcentral.